UGUUUUGGUAAAAAAAACUUUGUGAAUGUUUAGACAUAUACCUGCCCCUCUCAUAUUAGUUAAGCUUUUAAUUUGUCUCAUUCUUGGUUGAUGAAUACUUAAUUCUUACUUUUUGCACUUUCUAUUUAUAACUUUGGCCACUGUAUUAUGACUUAGAAACACUUAGUUAGCUUUGAUUUCUAUCUUUUGCAUGGUUGUUGAAGUAAGUACAUCUGUGAUGCUGAAAGUUUUCUUAAUGUUUUCUAGGAUGACAUUGUUCUUAAUUCUUUGUGCAGGCAUGCACUUAGACUCUGAUCUAGUGAUGUUAAGCUUGAAGGAAAUUGGAAAACUCAAGGCUGCCUCCAAGAGAAGAGGCAAAAUACUUGGUGUGCAAGCAAUCUCUCACGAGAGACUCUUACUUUUGUUUGCAUUUUGCAAGAGGGUCAUCUAAAGUGAAUUUGAUGUCUUUGAAACAAGAUUACUUGGAAUGGAGAAUGUUACAAUGUACCUACAUUUGGACUACGUUUUUAUUUCUUGACGGUGGAAGAGCUGUGCAGGGCGCUUUUGGAAAAAAUGCUCUAGUUGGAUUUGGUUUGACAACUUACACAAUGCUUGGAUUAGGAGUGGUGUGUAGAUGUGACUGGAGCUUACAGUGCUCUAAAGACGGAGCUUAACAUAAGCUUGACAGCAACAGGCCUUUUGUGGACUACAACUGGCUUUAUUGCAAAGAGGAUUACACAUGGACCUGUGGAAGAAAGGGAAACAAGAAAGGGAAACAGGUAUAUGACGAGUGCACAACAAAUGGACUCACAACAAAGACAAGUGCACAAAGGAUGAUGAAUUGAAGGAUGGAGCAAGUUUCGUGCAUGGUUUACUUUUGUGUAUCUUGUAAUUUUUUGUUUUUCAUUUUUGAAGUAAAAAAUGUUCAAGAUUAUAAUACUUUAUUAUGUUAUGCUUUCAAAUUUAAGUUAGAACUA
This is an RNA transcript of Humulus lupulus (European hop), 956 nucleotides long. RefSeq lists it as uncharacterized. The record is from RefSeq and is a predicted model, not a curated record. NCBI's taxonomy places the organism in Eukaryota, Viridiplantae, Streptophyta, Magnoliopsida, Rosales, Cannabaceae. The transcript is spliced from 5 exons.